RNAcentral lists this ribosomal RNA (326 nucleotides) under uncultured eukaryote. RNAcentral's name for it is "partial 18S ribosomal RNA". It matches the Rfam family "Eukaryotic small subunit ribosomal RNA", at positions 1470 to 1796 of the family's 1831-position model. The record is from RNAcentral.
CCCUUAGAUGUUCUGGGAUGCACGCGCGUUACACUGAUUCGUUCAACGAGUUUAUGACCUUGCCUGAUGAGGUGGGGGAAUCUUUUCAAAUCGCAUCGUGAUGGGGAUAGAGUAUUGGAACUGUUAGUCUUCAACGAGGAAUUCCUAGUAAGUACGUGUCAUCAGCUCGUACUGAUUAUGUCCCUGCCCUUUGUACACACCGCCCGUCGCUCCUACCGAUUGAGUGCUCAGGUGAAUAGUAUGGACUGCAUCAGUGUUCGGUCUCCGAAUGUUGACGCGAGAAAUUCUGUGAAUCUUAUUGCUUAGAGGAAGGAGAAGUCGUAACA